RNAcentral lists this long non-coding RNA (221 nucleotides) under Elaeis guineensis (African oil palm). Its description in RNAcentral is "long non-coding RNA (EGUI_LNC067953)". The record is from RNAcentral. Lineage: Eukaryota; Viridiplantae; Streptophyta; Magnoliopsida; Arecales; Arecaceae.
GAAUGGAUUGAUCACUAUCCUCCAUGACGAUCCUUCAAUCAGGAGCAUUUAAAAAUUAAUCAAUAAUAAUGUAUGUCUCAAAUUCUCAACACUUUGAGAAUAUACAAAAUCAUCUUUGUUAAUUCUGAGGACAAAUCAUGGAUACAUAUGAUAUGAUUGGUUAUAAAGACUACCUGUCAAGUACAAAAUAUGCCCUAGAGAAUAGCAUGUGUCAGCCAAGA